RNAcentral lists this non-coding RNA (29 nucleotides) under Rattus norvegicus (Norway rat). The record is from RNAcentral. Lineage: Eukaryota; Metazoa; Chordata; Mammalia; Rodentia; Muridae.
UUUCAAAAGGACAAAACCAAAAAAAAAAA